GUACACGCUGUGACUAGCAUAUCAAUAAGCGGAGGAAAAGAAACUAACAAGGAUUCCCCUAGUAACGGCGAGUGAAGCGGGAAGAGCUCAAAUUUGAAAUCUUAAAGGGUUUCCCUUUACGAAUUGUAGUUUAAAGAAGUGUUUUCUGUUGAGGUUUUGGUAAAAGUUCUUUGGAAUAGGACAUCAUAGAGGGUGAGAAUCCCGUAUUUGACCUUUACUUUCAACUUUGUGAUACACUUUCAAAGAGUCGGAUUGUUUGGGAAUGCAGUCCAAAAUGGGUGGUAAAUUUCAUCUAAAGCUAAAUAUUGGCGAGAGACCGAUAGCGAACAAGUACCGUGAGGGAAAGAUGAAAAGAACUUUGAAAAGAGAGUUAAACAGUACGUGAAAUUGUCAAAAGGGAAGCGUUUGACACCAGUGUUGUUUUUCUGAAAAUCAAUUAAAGAACUGUUUAUGCUAAGUUGUUUAGACUUUAUCAGCUAUCUGUUUAGUUUUGAGCUUUUCUUUAAUGCACUUUUCAGUUAACAAGUCAACAUCAAUUUCUUUUGCUGUAAAAAAGCUUGAGGAAGGUGGCUUGAGAUUCGUCUUAAGUGUUUAUAGCCUCUUGCCUAUGCAGUCGGAGAGAUUGAGGUCUGCAGCGUAGAUCCUUCGGGGCUAAAUGCAUUUGUGCUAAGUUAUAGCAUUUUAUAGACAACUUGUUGACUGUGAUUUGUCUUGUAGCUUACUCGCUUAUGUUAUUUUACCUACGCUUAGGAUGUUGACUGAUAUGUAGUCGUA
This 774-nucleotide ribosomal RNA is filed under the name uncultured Neocallimastigales. Its description in RNAcentral is "partial large subunit ribosomal RNA". It matches the Rfam family "Eukaryotic large subunit ribosomal RNA", at positions 22 to 644 of the family's 3401-position model. The record is from RNAcentral. Lineage: Eukaryota; Fungi; Neocallimastigomycota; Neocallimastigomycetes; Neocallimastigales.